This 308-nucleotide unclassified non-coding RNA is filed under the name uncultured Coprinus. RNAcentral describes it as "partial contains 5.8S ribosomal RNA, internal transcribed spacer 2, and large subunit ribosomal RNA". The stretch from base 1 to 52 matches the Rfam family "5.8S ribosomal RNA", at positions 103 to 154 of the family's 154-position model. The record is from RNAcentral. Lineage: Eukaryota; Fungi; Basidiomycota; Agaricomycetes; Agaricales; Agaricaceae.
AACGCACCUUGCGCUCCUUGGUAUUCCGAGGAGCAUGCCUGUUUGAGUGUCAUUAAAUUCUCAACCUCACCCAUUUUGUCAUGAAAUGGUCUGUGUAGGCUUGGAUGUGGAGGUUUUGCAGGUCCGCUCUUUUGUGGUCUGCUCCUCUGAAAUGCAUUAGUGGGUUCCGCCCCUAAAUCUAUUGGUGUGAUAAUUAUCUACGCCAGUGAUCUAGGUUUGGCAAUACAAAGAACCUGCUGACAACCGUCCGUCUCGGACAACUUGACAUUUUUGACCUCAAAUCAGGUAAGACUACCCGCUGAACUUAA